This 1134-nucleotide ribosomal RNA is filed under the name Triticum aestivum (bread wheat). Its description in RNAcentral is "partial small subunit ribosomal RNA". The record is from RNAcentral. Lineage: Eukaryota; Viridiplantae; Streptophyta; Magnoliopsida; Poales; Poaceae.
AUGCCAUUCGCCGGCGUAUCUGUCAUCACCAACGGCAAGCUGUGCCUUUCCACCACGUCGGACGUCGACGCCGGCGCGGCCAGCGGCUACCACCUGCUUGUGGUGGAGGGCUACUCGCAAACAAAAGAGAUGGUAUCCAAUGGCAAGCACAUCAUGUCUCGCCCAUUCGUCGUAGGAGGCCAUCGCUGGUGCAUCAGUUACGCACCAAACGGUGACAGCUCCUACAGUGCUGACUGUGUUUCUCUCCAUCUUGUCCUUCUUGAUGACGAUGUUGCCAAGGCUGUGAAGGUGCGGUUCGGGUUUAGUUUCAUUGAUCAGGUUGAGUGGCAAAAUCCAAUAUACAUUCGUGAAACUCAAACACACAGCUUCUCCAGCCAUGAUUCUAUUAGGGGCUUCGAUGAUGCUGUGAGAAAAGAUGCCCUUGAACAAUCAAAGCAUCUCAAGGGUGAUAGUUUCACCAUACGGUGUGGUGUCAUGGUCUACAGGGAUCUCGACACCGUGGAUGCCGGUGCCACCGAGGUGCCGCUGCCUGACAUACAGCAGCAUUUGAACCGUCUCUUUGAAACUAAGGUAGGUGCUGAUGUGACAUUCAAUGUCAGCGGCGAGACAAUCGCUGCACACCGAUGUGUGCUUGCAGCCCGGUCUCCAGUCUUCAUGGCACAACUCUUUGGUCCCAUGGAGGGGGCUGCAACGUGUGACAUACAGAUCGAAGACAUGGAAGCAAAUGUGUUCAGGGCUAUGCUUAGUUUCAUCUACACAGACUCAUUUCCCGAGAUGGAGAAUGAUGAGGCAGAAGUUGAGGAAGAACAAGAAGUGGAUGAAGUACUUUAUGCAACAUGGAUGCAAUGGAUGCAAGACUUGCUUGUAGCUGCGGACAGAUAUGAUAUCCAACGGCUCAAGUUUUGCUGUGAAGAGGGGUUGUCUGAGUGCAUGGAUGUGAGCUCGGUGACGUCCACACUUGUGAUAGCUGAGAAGCACCAUUGCCAAUAUUUGAAGGAGGCAUGCUUGAAUUUCCUCAGAGUAUCCCCCUCCAGUUUGCAAGAAGUAAUGGCAACCAGUGACUGGGAGCAUAUUACAGUCACAUAUCCCUCUGUUUUGAACGAGCUCAUUGCCAUGCUUGCUUCGAAAGCGUAA